ACGAACGCUGGCGGCGUGCUUAACACAUGCAAGUCGCACGAUGAAGCGCCAGCUUGCUGGUGUGGAUUAGUGGCGAACGGGUGAGUAACACGUGAGUAACCUGCCCCCUACUCUGGGAUAAGCCUGGGAAACUGGGUCUAAUACUGGAUAUGACCAAUCACUGCAUGGUGUGUUGGUGGAAAGAUUUUUUGGUGGGGGAUGGACUCGCGGCCUAUCAGCUUGUUGGUGGGGUAAUGGCCUACCAAGGCGACGACGGGUAGCCGGCCUGAGAGGGCGACCGGCCACACUGGGACUGAGACACGGCCCAGACUCCUACGGGAGGCAGCAGUGGGGAAUAUUGCACAAUGGGCGAAAGCCUGAUGCAGCGACGCCGCGUGAGGGAUGACGGCCUUCGGGUUGUAAACCUCUUUCACCAGGGACGAAGCUAACGUGACGGUACCUGGAGAAGAAGCACCGGCUAACUACGUG
Molecule: ribosomal RNA, 468 nt
Filed under: uncultured bacterium
Lineage: Bacteria
Description: partial 16S ribosomal RNA
Rfam family: Bacterial small subunit ribosomal RNA
Source: RNAcentral